CCCUUAGAUGUUCUGGGCCGCACGCGCGCUACACUGAUGCAUUCAACGAGCCUAUCCUUGACCGACAGGUCCGGGUAAUCUUUGAAUCUGCAUCGUGACGGGGAUAGAUUAUUGCAAUUAUUAAUCUUCAACGAGGAAUGCCUAGUAGGCGCAAGUCAUCAGCUUGCGUCGAUUACGUCCCUGCCCUUUGUACACACCGCCCGUCGCUCCUACCGAUUGGGUGUGCUGGUGAAAUGUUCGGAUCGGCCGUUUGUCGCGGUUUCCGCGGCUCGUGGCUGAGAAGUUAAUUAAACCCUCCCACCUAGAGGAAGGAGAAGUCGUAACA
This 325-nucleotide ribosomal RNA is filed under the name uncultured eukaryote. RNAcentral's name for it is "partial 18S ribosomal RNA". It matches the Rfam family "Eukaryotic small subunit ribosomal RNA", at positions 1470 to 1796 of the family's 1831-position model. The record is from RNAcentral.